AUCCCUAAAUCCAACAAUUUUGGCGGCCUUAACCUAUCAUAAAAGGAGUUCGUCUGGUAAUCGACAGCCCUCGAAAACCUCACUUUCUCUAAUUUUUUUAGUUUGUAUACCGCCGUCUAGAUGGUCUCUAUAAAUGCCUUCUAUAGCAGGAAUCAACCUGUUAAGACAGGCCAUGGCACAGCUUAUGGGUCAGUCAAUACGAUCUACAGUAAGAUAGAAUUAUAGGCUGCGUGUUGUAAGAUUUGUGUCUGAAAGAGGAUUUUAUAGUAACAGAGGCACUUUCUUCCCCUGUGGCUUACUCCACUCAGGUGCACAUAUCGCCCGUCGCUCGCGGGA
This 336-nucleotide ribosomal RNA is filed under the name Campylaspis horrida. RNAcentral describes it as "partial small subunit ribosomal RNA". Lineage: Eukaryota; Metazoa; Arthropoda; Malacostraca; Cumacea; Nannastacidae. The record is from RNAcentral.